UACGUAGGUGGCAAGCGUUGUCCGGAUUUACUGGGCGUAAAGAGCGCGCAGGCGGUCGUUCAAGUCGCGUGUGAAAGCCCCCGGCUCAACUGGGGAGGGUCACGCGAUACUGAUCGACUCGAAGGCAGGAGAGGGAAGUGGAAUUCCCGGUGUAGUGGUGAAAUGCGUAGAUAUCGGGAGGAACACCAAUGGCGAAAGCAGCUCUCUGGGACGGUACUGACGCUGAGACGCGAAAGCGUGGGGAGCGAACAGG
This 253-nucleotide ribosomal RNA is filed under the name uncultured bacterium. Its description in RNAcentral is "partial 16S ribosomal RNA". It matches the Rfam family "Bacterial small subunit ribosomal RNA", at positions 524 to 776 of the family's 1533-position model. The record is from RNAcentral.